CUUGGAGUUUCCUUGCUUGUGGAGUUUUCACGCAAUCUUUGGAAACGGUUAUGGGGGAAUAAGAGACACCCCAUGUCACAGCGGAUUAGUUAAUAACAAAGUGAAAUAUGUUUAUCUCAAAUGGUUGUACAAGAAGCCUCCACUUGGCUUUACAAAGGAAGACUCAUGGACAAGGAAUGCAGAGAAGAACUGGAUGAUGACGUGGAGGAGUCUGUUACAAUAAAUGGAGCUAGAAGAUAGCUGAACGAUACCUGAGAGAAAAAGGAAGUUGAGCUAAAUGAGUAACUAAGGCAUUUUGUUGAAUAUUCUUACAUCCUAGCACAGUACUUACUUGAGUGAAGAAAUCUGCAAAGCUCCACUGCCCAAACACAGCUUUGCCAUCUCUAAGUCAGUAGUUGCCCAUAGCAACAUGCUCAGGAGUACUUCUGUCUAAGGCUCUUUCUUGUUUGAUGUGCACCAAGGCCCUUCUGAGGACCUGAAUUAUGGAAUUACAUUUUUGAAUGUGUGUGACACAACAGAAUGCAUUACAAUUAUGUAGUUCAGAACUUGGCACCAGUGCCUGCUCUUUUUCCAAAGUCAAGUGUAAAGUCUUAGGCCCUAUUAAUGAAAAAUCCAUUCCAUGGCUGGGUUGCAGAAAAAGGCAGGCCUCAAAUUAUGAGCAGGAUCUGUUAUAAAAGCCAUGUGUUCAUAUAAAAAUAUGAUGGAAUAUGGGCACAGAAAAUUACAUGGGGAUUUCACUAGUUGCAAAGGGAUUCCUGGUAUGCACAUAAAUUUAUAUAUUGUACUUAAAGACACAAUGCAAAGGGUCAGGAGGCUGUAAAUAUGUUUCCUUGCUGCAUAAAGUAGGGAGAUAAACAAUGACAUGUCAAAAUCCCUGAAACUCAAGGCUUAGGCCAAACUACAGCUUGAAGUAGGCAUGCGGACAGCGGAAUGUAACUGCCAAUGCAUGGCCAGUAAAACUAAUUAUGAAAGAUAAAGUGCAUGAUACUUACCAAGACUUGCUUUUUAUGCAAGUAUGUUGCUUUUUUAAGAGUAAAUCCAAUCACCCUUUUUUAAUAUACCAGUCACUCCUUGAACAAACUGAAGUCUGUUAAUAGUUUAUAUAUUUUACAUAUAUGUACAUUUGAUGUAGGGCAUAGGUGAUUACACUGAUUACAUUUCGAAAGACAGUUAUGCAGUCCUAAAAUAUGAAUGUGUAAUAGAACUAAGGAAAUAAUAUUCUCCAUUUUCCCAAUCUUGACAUACUCACUGAGUAUGAAAUUUAACAUUCUCACUUUAAUGUUGUCACUUAUUUAUCAUAGUUCUGGAAAAGUUUCCAUCAGAAAACAUUGCUGCA
Molecule: non-coding RNA, 1336 nt
Organism: Meleagris gallopavo (turkey)
Lineage: Eukaryota; Metazoa; Chordata; Aves; Galliformes; Phasianidae
Source: RefSeq, a predicted model, not a curated record